AUUUUCCUUUGUCCAUUUCAUUUGUCUCUCAAACCCUAGAAUAUAAAUACAGAAAUUCAUUUCCUCAAAUCAGAAAAAAAAAGAAAGCCCCAAAUCAGAAAAUUCAGAUCUCCAUCUCUAACAAAAUCAAGGCAAAAUUGUCACCUUUAUCCUUUAAGAUUCAAUCAGAUUAUUAUCACUGACCCAGCUUCAGAUAAGCUAUAAUCUUCAGAUACACAGACGUUAUUGAUCUAUAAUGGUUUUGUAAAAUCCGAAGAUUAUGAUAUCAGCUGCACUAACUGAUCUCUGCAUGCUUAAUUUUGGAUUUACUCGAGGUGGGGAUUGCAGAACACUUUGAUUUGAUCUAGCAAUCAAAUGGAACCGUAGCUCAGCGCUGAUAAUAGUGGUUCAUCAACUACAUUGUUUAGAUGCUGCAGAUGGGUGGGAACAUCAAAUUGUGAACAAAUCAGAUAGGUUUUGGAAGGGGCUUUUCACUCAUUUUGGACUUGGGGACUGUGCACAUGUUAUUGGAAGGUGUUUCUGAAAAUGCUGCUUCCCUCUUGAUUAGGUUACAUAUGGCACGACGCACAGGUGAGCUGCUACAAAUGUUACCUUGGCCUGCCUUGUAUGCGAAUUGUGUGGGCUGGAACCCGAGGAACCUGCGCAUGUUGGUAUUUGCUAGUAAUGACCGUGCUAUCCCAGUUAGAUGUUCAAACUCUAUUAACUUUAAGCGCAAACAAACCCAUGAAAAUUGGGUCGUUUGCUGUAGCGAUGGACGAACUUAAAAUUUUUAGUAGCAAAUAGAAUUAAACGUCAAUCAUCUCAGUUCAGUGGUGAUGAUAAUGAUUCAUCAAUAUUAACAUGGUCUGGAUGCUGCAAAUGGAUUGAAAGAUGUUGAAACAUCAAGUCGUGAACAAAUCAGAUAGGUUUUAGAAGGGGCGAGUUCAUUCAUUUCGGACUUGGGGACGGCUUAAAAAGGAACACAUUAUAUGAAUAUGUUAUUUGGAAGGUGUUUCUAAAACACUGCUUUUCUCUUGAUUAGGUUAUAUAUGGCACGAGGCACAGGUUGGCUGCUAGGAAUGUUACCUGGGCCUUCCAGAGCUGUGAACUGUGCUGGCUGGAAACCGUGGAAUCUGCACAUGCUGGUAUUAUUUGUAAGUGAUGGCCGUACUUUUCCAGUUAGAGGUUCAAUCUGUGUUAGCUUGAAGCACAAAGAAACCCAUGAUAAUGGGGUCGUCUGCCGUAGGAAUGGAUGGACUUAAAAUCUUCAGUAUCGAGAGAUGAUACAUCAAUCAUCUUAGUUCAGCGCUGAAGAUAACGAUUCAUCAAUUUAAUGAUCUAGAUGCUGCAGAUGGGUUGAACUUCAAGUUGUGGGAAAAUCAGAUAGGUUUUAGAAGGGAUGAUGUACAGAAUACUAGACUCGAGAGCUCUGAAAGUAAAGCACUGGAAAUCUGAUGCAGCGAGGAUUGAGUUAGAUCUUACUCUAGCACACGCUGUGGAUGAUGGAAUGAGAUACUAUUUUGGCCUCGUGGUGUAGAGUCUCGCCGCAGAGCUUCAAAGUCAUUUGAUGAUGAUUGAUUGCAGUCAAUUGCCAAUUAAAAUUGUCGUGGUUAGCAGGAGCAGCAAUACGUGGAGCAACUCAGGAUUACAGAUUACUAUCAGCAUCAAUUCAGCUACUUUGACGAAAGUUUGAUAUCAUCCAGGCUCUCUCACAACAACGAUCUCCACUCUUGGUGCAGUUAACUCGGAGGACCUGCCUCGUGGAGUCACAACCAACUUAAGACCAAGCAUCUCGGAUCAGUCUUAUCGAUUGCGGCCUAGUUACCUCGGGUCGGUCAAUCAGCUCGUGUCCAACCAUCCUCUUCUUUUGAAUUCACCUGCUAGCUUGGGAUACAUUCAAUCCACUUGGGUCAAACCAUCUCGGACAAGUCAGUUCGGAAAUGCAAUUUGAAUCGCUACCAACUCAGCCUCGGGCGAAACCAUCACGGAACAAAUCAGUUAACUCACUAGGCUCAAAAGCAUCUCAUACCAAAUCAGCUAUGGGCAGAUACCCUCUCCGAAGCAAUUAGGACGAGCUCAGACGAGCAAUACUGGAUCAACUCCUUCAUGUCAGGUCAACUCGGAGUCACCAAUUUCACUGGAUCAACUCCUACAUCGGACCUAGUCAGCUCAUACACAUCAGCUCGUGAAGUACCUAUCAACUCACUCGGGAUGGUCAGUUCAGAAAGGAUAAAGUCAGCUCGUUCCAGAUUAGCAUACUUGGUUCCGGUCAUUCAUCUUGGUACACGCAGGACUCGUAGUCGGCUAAAGACCAACUAUCAAGCAGGUAUCUCGGAAGUAAUUAUGUCAGGCCAGUCAUAGAGGUCCAUCCAAGUUCGCAGAGCUCACAAAGGUCCACCAAGCUUAUAAGCCACAUGAUGGGGAUAACGAGUUUAUAGGAGUUUCUUUGGUUUAAGGAUCAAGUUAGAGGUUACAGCAAGGCCAGGAACCAUGCCAUUUCAGCAUCGCUAGCAGCAAGAGAAAGCUCAAGUAGCUAUUCAAUCCGGUCAACUAGCUUGGUUUGAUCAUACCAGUCGCAGGGUCAACUAGCUCGCUCGUAAAAUGAAGUUUACCCCUCCCUCCAUAGGGAGAUGGGGGGUGGACGGGCCGUGGGGAAUCUGGGGAUUGACCCGUAUUGUUGAUUUGAAAGUUGCAAUUUCUUGCUUUGCUGCCUACUUUCCAACCUAAAGUUCGGAAUAUGAAAACUGGUAUUCUAAUGAAUUAGACAGCUUUUUUAUCUUCUCA
Molecule: long non-coding RNA, 2763 nt
Organism: Papaver somniferum (opium poppy)
Lineage: Eukaryota; Viridiplantae; Streptophyta; Magnoliopsida; Ranunculales; Papaveraceae
Exons: 8
Source: RefSeq, a predicted model, not a curated record